GUGUUCACUUUGGCAGCACAUAUACUAAAAUUGGAUACAGAGAAGAUUAGCAUGGCCCCUGUACCAGGAUGAUACACACAAAUUUGUGAAGCAUUCCAUAUUAAA
Molecule: small nuclear RNA, 105 nt
Organism: Erinaceus europaeus (western European hedgehog)
Lineage: Eukaryota; Metazoa; Chordata; Mammalia; Eulipotyphla; Erinaceidae
Source: Ensembl